This 468-nucleotide ribosomal RNA is filed under the name uncultured bacterium. RNAcentral describes it as "partial 16S ribosomal RNA". It matches the Rfam family "Bacterial small subunit ribosomal RNA", at positions 28 to 507 of the family's 1533-position model. The record is from RNAcentral.
GAUGAACGCUGGCGGCGUGCUUAACACAUGCAAGUCGAACGGAAAGGCCCAAGCUUGCUUGGGUACUCGAGUGGCGAACGGGUGAGUAACACGUGGGUGAUCUGCCCUGCACUUCGGGAUAAGCCUGGGAAACUGGGUCUAAUACUGGAUAGGACCACUUCUUGGAUGGUGUGGUGGAAAGGUUUUUCGGUGUGGGAUGAGCUCGCGGCCUAUCAGCUUGUUGGUGGGGUAAUGGCCUACCAAGGCGUCGACGGGUAGCCGGCCUGAGAGGGUGUACGGCCACAUUGGGACUGAGAUACGGCCCAGACUCCUACGGGAGGCAGCAGUGGGGAAUAUUGCACAAUGGGCGCAAGCCUGAUGCAGCGACGCCGCGUGGGGGAUGACGGCCUUCGGGUUGUAAACUCCUUUCGCUAGGGACGAAGCGUUUUUGUGACGGUACCUGGAGAAGAAGCACCGGCUAACUACGUG